RNAcentral lists this long non-coding RNA (2153 nucleotides) under Brassica rapa (field mustard). RNAcentral's name for it is "long non-coding RNA (BRAP_LNC008537)". Lineage: Eukaryota; Viridiplantae; Streptophyta; Magnoliopsida; Brassicales; Brassicaceae. The record is from RNAcentral.
AUAUCACACUAGUAACCACUCUCCAUUGCACACACAAUGGGCAACAAGUCUUCCUCUUAUACUCGGAUGGAUGGUGAGCAAAGAACACUUCUUGUGAACCUGAAACAUCACUCAAACUCCAGCAAAGAUAAGACACAAUAGUAUUGGGAUCAAUCCUUGAUUAAUCAUCAAGUUUGAUUCCCAAUAUCACAAGCAUUGCAACAGAUUAAACAAGUCAUUUUCAAGUUUUAAUCUUUGCAAGCAAACUCUCUAAGCACAAGCAUGAUCUUAACAGGUUCAAUACAAGCUACUUAGGCAAUUUUUAAAGCUUCUUUACUCAGCAAUUUAGACAUGAAUCUAAUGCUUCAAUGUAAGACAGCCACAAGACAAUAUGCAAUAACUUUAAGACGGUUUCAAUCCAUGUAUGCAAGCAGAUUUAAGCAAUCACAACAAGCAUCACUAUGAACCUUAGUUAAGCACUACUAUCAACAACCAACAUCAGACCCAAUGCAUAACCUUAGGUGAUAUCAUUUCAUGAAAGCAAUCAGGUUUAGACAACUUCUAACUCCCUAACAAGCCUCACUAGAAUCAGGGUUAAGCAUUUUUAAACUUUUCAACCACCAAACAAGACUUUUUAAGCAUUAUAGGACAGAUUCUAAAUUCAUUUCAUUUCAUUUAGCAAUCUUUAAUAUAUCCUCAAGUUUUCAAUCACAACACCACAUCACAAUCAGUUUAAUAUAAUUUUCAGUUCAAAUACUCAAGCUUUAUACAAGAGAAAGAGAUUUCCUUACAGCCAAGGAACUAGUGUUAGUUCCUUGAAACUCCUUAGUACAUGACAAGAUCUGAGCUGUUGGUGUCGACCCCAACAUCUCCUGCUUCCAUGGACCUUCCUCCUGAACCCACCAUGUCAAAGAGACCACCUUUCUUCAUGAGAAUCACCAUGAGACUCGCCUGGAUCUGGUUUGUUGAAGAGGCUAGCUAGACCACUUCAUAACCUUUGCUUCCAAGGCCUUCUUUCUUCAAGGGUGGACAUGAGAACGUGGAGAACAACCAGAGACAGCUACUGGACGCCAUGUAUGAGCCCACCUUCUUCUUGGAGAGGUUUUACAGCAGGCUGAACAUGAAGCUUCUUCUUGGUUUGGAAAUGACAUGGGAGAAGCCUUGAGCUUAGCAGAAGCUGGAACCAAGUUCUAAUGAACCUGGCUCUGAUACCAUAUGAGAUUUAAGAGUCUAGGAUGUGUGUGUGAAGAACAAGCCUCUUAGGGCAGAAUAGAGUCUUGAAAUGGUGAAGAAAGAAUCUGAUGAACUAGUAUGAACUUAGAUCAGAAACAAAGAGACUUUGAGAGAUUAAAAGAUUAGAGAUUAAGAAAGGGAGAGAUUAAGGGAAUCUGAUCAAGAACAUACUUUAUAAUAUGAAGGAGAUGGGGAAAUCCCCCAUACUCUCUUAAGAGUUACAAAUUCGUCCACAAUAGCUUAUUUAUAAGCUUUACAAUGUUUUCUCAUCAGAAACCUAAAUCUAAUGGCUGAUAAAUGACUUAAGAGAUGAAUGGACAGGAUGGAGUCUUUUGGGAAGGUGUGGGACGUGAUGAAUCUGAUUGGUUGAUUCAAAUGUGGUCAAAGGGAAGGCUGCUCUCUCAUUGGCUCCUCAUAGGCUCCCAUGUAUCUUCCCACUUCUUUGGCUAGAUACUUGGUCUCCUUUGCCUUCACUUUACAGCUAAUGCCAGCUCAUGACAGCCUGACCUUAUCCACACACGUCCAUAAGCUCAGCUGGAUCAGGUUGCCUCCCUUCAUGCUGAACCGGAACCCUAUCUUUGCACUUCUUUAUUUCAGGUUGAUCCGGAGCAAGUACGGUUGAUGGUACGGACCGCCUGUCCGUACCUCGCCCUAAGUUUGCACAUCUCACUCAAACAUCUCCAAUGGUUGAGUGUGAUCAGGUUCUGGGUCGCCCUAAGUUUGCACGGUUCGUCCGUACCGUCUGUACCGUCUGAACCUCGGGACGCCCUAUCUUUGCACCAUCACCCAACUAUCUCCAAAUGGUGUCUAAGUCCCUCCUGGACUUAAACCCUAUCUUUGCACAGCCUUCAUGACACUUCUAGACUUCUCUAAACCUUCAUGAAGCCUUGAUAGACAAUCUCUUAAGAUCUUGUCCCUAUCUUUGCACCAGACCCAAACUC